Long non-coding RNA from Betta splendens (Siamese fighting fish), 2210 nucleotides. Ensembl lists it as uncharacterized. NCBI's taxonomy places the organism in Eukaryota, Metazoa, Chordata, Actinopteri, Anabantiformes, Osphronemidae. The record is from Ensembl.
AUGUUGUGUGCUGUUGCUCUGUUUCUGCCUCCAUCCAGGCUGAAUAUGAGUCAUCCGGGGCCUAAUGGAGGGAAUGUACACUCGUUCACCAACAGUGGUGCUUUUAACUCUGGGCCACAGGAUGCAGACCUGCAGAGCAGCUGUCCACGGCCACGGCCUCUGUCCCGUCCACAACCCCCCUCUGCUGCUCCUGUGUUCUACGUUCAUGCGCCAACUGCUCCUCCUCCACCUGCAUUCCACUAUCCGUGGCCACUUCCCAUGCCCUUAUUCUUUAACCCCCUUGAGGGCUUCCCCGGCAUGGGCUAUGGCAUUUUCAUGCCACCUUUCCCUCCCUACAUGGAGACUCCAGCCUACAUUAUGCCCCCCCCUCACGUCCAGCCCAUGGACUACAGACGGCUGCUCCACCCUCAGGCCCAUGUGCCUACGGCAGCUCACCAGAACACCAACCAGAUGAGGAGAACCCGCCCGCCUCGUGGUGCAUCUACAGAAACCGUGAACGCUGCGGUCCAGACAGAACUCACUGAAAGACACGCUAAUGAUUAUGGCGACCGAAGCCCACUUGUCCUUCCAGAUUCUGGACAUGGGACUACCUCUGUCUCUCCCUCUUCAAGCUCUAGUUCCAAAAGAAGAGACGCUGCUGAAGCCAAUGACUUUAAGAGUUUGGAACAAAAAGUGAGGAACCUGAUGAGCAGUAAUGGAGACGUGCAGAUUAAUGACGCUAGAACAAAAGUACCGCUCAAACCCAGCUUCAACGUUCAACAUCCUACUCGAUCUGUGGGUACAUCUAUCAGGGCAAUUCUGGACGAUCAGAAGAACCACAAAGAGGGUAGCGCUCAGACGAAUGAUGGUCACUGCAAAGUCUGGUCGGUCAGUUCUUCUGAUAGUAUUGUCCCCGUGUGUAGUUCUUCUCAACAAGAUGACGUUUUCAGAGAAAGACUUUCCUCCAUUUGUGGUGUUCAGAAGCUGCUGCCCUCAGAAAGUCCAAAUGCUCGUGAUAAGUGUGUGGACCAACUCCCAGGCGAGGAUGACUCUUUUGCCAAAGACUGUGAAUGUCUUUACAAAAUUCUGAAACUACCUUUAGUUCGGUCAAGAGAAGAUGCUCAUGAAAUGUCUUCAGGCAACUUCCAGACAAGAAAAAAGGUGAAUGAGUCUGUUUGGUCAGUGGACUCUUUGCCUCUCUAUAUCCCCACUAAAGAGUGGCUUGCACAAAAUGGCCUAAUUGACACUGUAGCAAUUGAAGAGGAGGAAGUGGGAAACUGCCAGGCAGCACGAAAUUUUAGAAUUGUAAACACUCCUAAAAGAAUUGGGGAUGCUCAUGAAAUGUUUUCGAGCAACUUCCAGACAAAGAAGUUCAAUGAGUCUGUUUGGUCAGUUGAGUCUCUGCCUCCCUUCAUCCCCACUAAAGAGUGGCUUGCACAAAAUGGCCUAUUUGGCCCUGUAGCAAUUGAAGAGGAGGAAUUGGGAAACUGCCAGUCAGCACAAAAUGUCAGAAAUGUAAACACUGGUAAAAGAAUUGGUAACGCCUUCUCGGAGAAUGAAGCGACUCUCCCGAAUUCGCCCACACUGGAGAGAAUCGUACAAAAUGCAGUAGAUGUGGAGGCCAUAGAUGGAAACGGUGAGCAGCUGUGUGUUCCUGUGGAUCACAUGCAGAUGGCUGAGGUGUCUCCAAGGGGACAUCUGGUGGACUGUGGCAUCCAGUGUGACCAAAUCCAGUGUUUCUGUGAGAAGAUCAGAAGCAGCAGAGGAACCUGCAGAAGGAAUCUACUCAGACCUUCAGGUGUGAAGUCAAACAAUGGUGGCAGCAAAGUAUUCUGCAUGAAUGGAUCUUCGCAGAAAAACCAGAAUAGUCCUGAAAACCUAACUGGGCAGCAGAUGUCACAUGAUGGGCUCCCUGGCCAAACUGGGAAAAGGGGUGAGCACGGCUCAACCGCUCUCCUUACAGUGGACAGAACUAGAAAUAGAUUCCCGUAAUUCCUGUUGAGGAAUUAUUUGCUUUAAUGUUAUAAAUUUGUGCAAGACAAAUGUGUGCUUAAACACUAAAUACAGAAAUUAGCCUUGAUGAAACUUUUCAUUCAGGAAAUCGCCAGAUUUCAUUGUUCAUUGCUAGUCUCAGGGUUUGGUUUUGCUUUGCUACUCGUCGGUGGAGGAAACCACAAAUGAGGAAAGACAUGAUUUUAUAUUGUCUAAUAAUAAAAUGAUCUAUUUUUUCA